Molecule: long non-coding RNA, 496 nt
Organism: Cervus elaphus (red deer)
Lineage: Eukaryota; Metazoa; Chordata; Mammalia; Artiodactyla; Cervidae
Exons: 3
Source: RefSeq, a predicted model, not a curated record
AGUCGAGCGGACUGCAGGGUGCCAGGGCCAAGGAGAGUGGGCGGUGGAGCUCUCUCCCUGGCAGCCAAAGCCCUGUUGCUGCGACCUGCAGUUUCGGGAAGCCGUGCCCAAGCCAGGCGGAGGACGCAAAACCGCCUAACUGCUGUCCUCGGGCGCAGCACUCCUGAUACGGCUGGAAGCUGAAUCGCAGCAUUUCACAAGCAGGGCUGGACACUCUGAUCUAGGAGUCGUCAGAGGACAUGACUUCAUGGAUGUCUCUGGACCCAGGGGAGAGGAAAAAGAUCUUGGAGGGGUGAUAAAAUGCAUCAUCAGUGUUUGUCUGAUCAAAAAGCAAGCUCUAGGUUUUCCUGACCUGCACCUUUAAGAACUGCAAGCACAGUUGGAGUUCAGAUGACUGGCUCAACAAUGUCUAGGAGCUCCUUAAAGAUAGUCACUAAUUAACGAACACGAAGCCCCGGUUUGUGAGACAUUGAAACAACGCAGAACAAGGCUCUCU